RNAcentral lists this ribosomal RNA (592 nucleotides) under Pseudomonas sp. HRRK040. Its description in RNAcentral is "bacterial SSU rRNA". It matches the Rfam family "Bacterial small subunit ribosomal RNA", at positions 102 to 691 of the family's 1533-position model. The record is from RNAcentral. Lineage: Bacteria; Pseudomonadati; Pseudomonadota; Gammaproteobacteria; Pseudomonadales; Pseudomonadaceae.
ACGGGUGAGUAAUGCCUAGGAAUCUGCCUGGUAGUGGGGGACAACGUUUCGAAAGGAACGCUAAUACCGCAUACGUCCUACGGGAGAAAGCAGGGGACCUUCGGGCCUUGCGCUAUUGAUGAGCCUAGGUCGGAUUAGCUAGUUGGUGAGGUAAUGGCUCACCAAGGCUACGAUCCGUAACUGGUCUGAGAGGAUGAUCAGUCACACUGGAACUGAGACACGGUCCAGACUCCUACGGGAGGCAGCAGUGGGGAAUAUUGGACAAUGGGCGAAAGCCUGAUCCAGCCAUGCCGCGUGUGUGAAGAAGGUCUUCGGAUUGUAAAGCACUUUAAGUUGGGAGGAAGGGUUGUAGAUUAAUACUCUGCAAUUUUGACGUUACCGACAGAAUAAGCACCGGCUAACUCUGUGCCAGCAGCCGCGGUAAUACAGAGGGUGCAAGCGUUAAUCGGAAUUACUGGGCGUAAAGCGCGCGUAGGUGGUUCGUUAAGUUGGAUGUGAAAUCCCCGGGCUCAACCUGGGAACUGCAUCCAAAACUGGCGAGCUAGAGUAUGGUAGAGGGUGGUGGAAUUUCCUGUGUAGCGGUGAAAUGCGU